This 267-nucleotide long non-coding RNA is filed under the name Homo sapiens (human). RNAcentral describes it as "LNC_000173". The record is from RNAcentral. Lineage: Eukaryota; Metazoa; Chordata; Mammalia; Primates; Hominidae.
GCUGGUACCUGAGCUGUCUGUGCUCAUAGCCUUGAAAUGGAUGGGUGUAGUAUCCGCUGAGGGAAUACCCCUGCCGCGGAUUCAUUGCGCCCGCGAGGCAUUGCCCGGCCCGACCCGCCGGCGGCACGACCCUGGCCCGACCGCUGGGCCGCGCCAGCCCCUCGAGGCCCCCACGCCUCCGCUACUCCGCACUGGAAGUGGCCCCGGGGCGUCGGCACGGGAAACUCCGCGGGUCUGCGCGCCGGGCCCAAGAUGGCUCCGGUUCAA